Long non-coding RNA from Chinchilla lanigera (long-tailed chinchilla), 2233 nucleotides. RefSeq lists it as uncharacterized. The record is from RefSeq and is a predicted model, not a curated record. The transcript is spliced from 5 exons. Lineage: Eukaryota; Metazoa; Chordata; Mammalia; Rodentia; Chinchillidae.
UUUCACUACUACGGGAAACGAGAGUGAAAUAGAUCAAGCCAUGUGUCUAAGUUUUAACUGCUUGUAAAAUGAUCACCCUCAGAUUUGUGUCCUGUCUGUCUGCCACCCAAGAUGCACUUUCAUAACACCAUUAUGCCUCUUCAGGAGUGAAGGGAACUUUGAAGCUUGGAAAGAAAGGCAGAAGAAGGUGCUGGAGAGAGAUGCUUGAUGUGAAAGAAGCACUUUGCAUUUCAGAUGAAAAUUAGGCCAAGACGGUGAUGUGUUUUGCCACCCAGCUCCAACACACAGGGGGAAGUUCCUUUCCAUAAUUUGUGAUGCAUAUGUUCCUUUUACUUGGUAAUCCUCACCAAGUGCCACCAGCCCCGUCUCCAAAGAUGGUCUUCAGUCUGUGCGCUUCUCCACUCAGCAAGCCUACCCUACUCCAAGAUGCUGUUCACUCCUUCCUGAAUGACAGCUAGAAGGGCUGAUUUUAUUCCUUCAGCACACACUGGUUUUCCACUCAGCAGCCAGAAUUUCAUGCUUCUUCGGAGCUUGAAACCCUUCCGUGGGGCUUUAUUGCUGUUUAUUAAACUGAAGCACAUGGUGCCUAGAGGAGCACAUCACUGGCACACAAUAAAUAUGUAUCCAAUCAGUUAUUAUUGAGGUGCUCGGUGAUGUGGCCAUGGAAACUGCUGAAACUUCACUUUGGGAAGACGAAUGCCGUGUGCAGUAACUAUUCGACAUCAUCUUGCCUGCCUCCUUGUUCCAACACAGAUAGAUUAGCAGACGGAUGCUGGACAGCCAGGAUUUAUUUUUCACUGCAUGCAAUCAGGCGCGGGACACCAUGUAGGCCAUGCCUGUUUAUUGCAGCUCAAGGUUGACCAUCUCCAAUCCGAAGAUCUGGAAUCUGAAAUGAUCCAUACUCCAAGGCUUUCUAAGGGCCAGCGUGAUGCAACAAGUAGAAAAUUUCAUGUCGUGAAACUUUGUUUCAUGUACAAGAUUAUUUUAACACAUCAUAUAUAAUAUUUAACACAUCAUAUAACCUUCAGGCUAUGUGUAUUGGGUGUACAUAGAACACAAAUAAAUAUCUUGUUUAGAUUUGUGUCCCAUCCUUAAGAUAUUUCAUUAUGAAUAUACAAAUAUGGUAAAAUUUAAAAAUAAUUGAUAUCUGAGGUAUUUCUGGUCCAAAACUUAGUGAACAAGGGAUACUCAACUUGUGCAUUGAACUAAUAACUGAGGGACCUAAACCGAGGCCCUUUGGUCCCUCAGAUGCCCACCUUUCUGCCCCAUCUCCUCAAGUGAAAGAGUCUGUGAACCAAAUUUACUCCUUCCUUGUCCUGUGGCUGUCAUAGACAGGUGGUAGGUGAGGCCAACCGGUACAGGCCAGGAUGGGGACAGCUGAGGUGGGGAUUGCUUAGGACCAGUUUCUCUAUAGCUUUGCUUCUCUGCUCCAUUUCUGCAUCCAUUCCUUGGCUUCAGAAUGACCUGCUGAAAUGCCUCCAGAGGCCCUGCAGGGUGUACUCAGUGAAAUAAAGGCUUGGGCCCUCGUCACAUUGCUAUUGGCCACUCUUUUGGUCUGGACUGCAGGAUGAAGGAAGGCUCUGAGUGUUCAGCCUUUAAGUAAAAAUUCUCCGGAAGGGGAAUCUCACUAUCAAGCUUCCUUUGAGGCCCUUUCCCAUAGAUAUGUCAGUGGUUCUUUAUGACUGAAAUUCAAAGAAAGCUCCAAAGUGAAGAAGAAAGUGCUUUAAAUCUCUUCCACCCACGGCUUGUCUUUCCUGGUUCUAUAAGUUUAUUAUAUUAUUUUUAGUAUGUUUACGUAGUGCUUUGAGUUGGCCAAGCAGAAUAUCUGGACUUCUGAUCAGAACACGUCUGUGUCCUCCAUCACUGGUAUCCACUGGUAGGAGGCUCAAAAUAGUCCAGCAAACUCUUCGUUUUACCUGUUAAAAGAAGAGAAAAGAUAGUAAUGCUCUGUUCACUCCUGCCCCUAAAUUCCUUCUGGGCAUGGAACAUAGUCAUGUGGAGGUUGAUUCCAAGGAGUCCUAUGGACACCAAAAUUUGAGAAUGCUGAAGUACUUCAUUUUAAAGAGAGUAUUUGCAUCUAUUGCCCCUCUCCCUUUCUUUCUUUUCUUUUCUUUCUUUUUCUUUCUGUGCUGGGGACUUAACCCAGGGUGUCUAGCAAGACAAGUACUCUACCACUCACCUGCAUCCCAUCCUCUCAUGUGCACUUUAAAUCCCUUAUAGAAUGUUUAUAAUA